GAUAACAAAGGAAGAAAAGGUGUAGAUCUGGUAUUUAACACAGCUUAAAUACCAGAUCUACACCUUUUCUUCCUUUGUUAUC
This 82-nucleotide small RNA is filed under the name Mytilus galloprovincialis (Mediterranean mussel). Lineage: Eukaryota; Metazoa; Mollusca; Bivalvia; Mytilida; Mytilidae. The record is from RNAcentral.